GAUGAACGCUGGCGGCGUGCCUAAUACAUGCAAGUCGAGCGAACAGACGAGGAGCUUGCUUCUCUGAUGUUAGCGGCGGACGGGUGAGUAACACGUGGAUAACCUACCUAUAAGACUGGGAUAACUUCGGGAAACCGUAGCUAAUACCGGAUAAUAUUUUGAACCGCAUGGUUCAAUAGUGAAAGACGGUUUUGCUUUCACUUAUAGAUGGAUCCGCGCCGCAUUAGCUAGUUGGUAAGGUAACGGCUUACCAAGGCAACGAUGCAUAGCCGACCUGAGAGGGUGAUCGGCCACACUGGAACUGAGACACGGUCCAGACUCCUACGGGAGGCAGCAGUAGGGAAUCUUCCGCAAAGGGCGAAAGCUUGACGGAGCAACGCCGCGUGAGUGAUGAAGGUCUUCGGAUCGUAAAACUCUGUUAUUAGGGAAGAACAAAUGUGUAAGUAACUAUGCACGUCUUGACGGUACCUAAUCAGAAAGCCACGGCUAACUACGUG
Molecule: ribosomal RNA, 497 nt
Filed under: uncultured bacterium
Lineage: Bacteria
Description: partial 16S ribosomal RNA
Rfam family: Bacterial small subunit ribosomal RNA
Source: RNAcentral